CUCGGAUCAGGUAGGGAUACCCGCUGAACUUAAGCAUAUCA
RNAcentral lists this ribosomal RNA (41 nucleotides) under Aspergillus flavus. RNAcentral describes it as "partial 28S ribosomal RNA". The record is from RNAcentral. RNAcentral also lists the same sequence under 4 other names. Lineage: Eukaryota; Fungi; Ascomycota; Eurotiomycetes; Eurotiales; Aspergillaceae.